GCAAGUAAGGGGGUUUUGUUCCGGAGCUGAUUUGAAGUCAGUUUGUUCGCCGGUAGAUGGGUGGUGCUUGCU
RNAcentral lists this transfer RNA (72 nucleotides) under Brachycladium goliath. RNAcentral describes it as "tRNA-Ser". Lineage: Eukaryota; Metazoa; Platyhelminthes; Trematoda; Plagiorchiida; Brachycladiidae. The record is from RNAcentral.